Molecule: long non-coding RNA, 212 nt
Filed under: Lupinus angustifolius (narrow-leaved blue lupine)
Lineage: Eukaryota; Viridiplantae; Streptophyta; Magnoliopsida; Fabales; Fabaceae
Description: long non-coding RNA (LANG_LNC000803)
Source: RNAcentral
GUGGGUCUUUAGUUCAAACAAGCUUAAGAAGAGGAGGCUUAAUGCUACAACUAAAUAAGAUCUCAAGCACAUUUUGUAGUCAAACUUUUGUAUUGGUUAAAGCAUCCCUUCUUUUUUAUUAGUAUAUUUUUUGCUUAUCGGAAAAAAUUAAUCAUUGUUAUUAAGGUAUAAACUCUAUGUUUUUAUUCUCUGUGUGAUCAGCACACAAAACG